Long non-coding RNA from Symphalangus syndactylus (siamang), 551 nucleotides. RefSeq lists it as uncharacterized. Lineage: Eukaryota; Metazoa; Chordata; Mammalia; Primates; Hylobatidae. The record is from RefSeq and is a predicted model, not a curated record.
CGCAGCAGCUGAGGCUGAUAUAAAUGUAUAAACAAGCAGAAGCUAUAUAUGAGACACACCACCAUCAUUAAAGCAUAAAGCAACAACUUUAAGCCAAGUUCUCGGCUUCCGAUGGUCUGGUGAAACCAACGCUUUGCUGAUGGGCUGAAGUAGAGGAAGGAAUCCUGAAAAAAAUGACCGUUUCCUGAGGUCAUAUGGACAUGCAAGAUCCAUCUGGAUAUAGCUUGAUAAUUGGAAUACAGAAAAGAUGCAAAAUUUAAGAAAGGUCUUAAGUGGGAAAAAAAUAAACCUCCAAGAAGGUCCCAGCAGAAGAAAAAAGUAUCCCUCCUACCUCAUUUCUCCUUUUGGAGGCUAGCAGGAAAUUAAAAAAGGAAAGGAGUUUCAUGCAGUAUUUCUGACAGCAAAUUUCUCAGAAUCCAGAGAUACUUCUUUUCUCUGUAAUAAGUUGCUGCAGAUACAAAGGAACACUUAUGAUUGAUGACUAUCUCUGUUUGCAUGAGCGAUAAUUCCUGAACACACAGUUCUCGAUUAAAAUACAAAUGCAUUUUCAA